This 796-nucleotide ribosomal RNA is filed under the name uncultured archaeon. RNAcentral describes it as "bacterial SSU rRNA". It matches the Rfam family "Archaeal small subunit ribosomal RNA", at positions 85 to 879 of the family's 1478-position model. The record is from RNAcentral.
ACUGCUCAGUAACACGUGGAUAACCUGCCCUUGGGUCCGGCAUAACCCCGGGAAACUGGGGAUAAUUCCGGAUAACGCACAUAUGCUGGAAUGCUUUAUGCGUAAAAUGGAUUCGUCUGCCCAAGGAUGGGUCUGCGGCUUAUCAGGUAGUAGUGGGUGUAAUGUACCUACUAGCCAACAACGGGUACGGGUUGUGAGAGCAAGAGCCCGGAGAUGGAUUCUGAGACAUGAAUCCAGGCCCUACGGGGCGCAGCAGGCGCGAAAACUUUACAAUGCGGGAAACCGUGAUAAGGGGACACCGAGUGCUAGCAUCAUAUGCUGGCUGUCCAGGUGUGUAAAAUACACCUGUUAGCAAGGGCCGGGCAAGACCGGUGCCAGCCGCCGCGGUAACACCGGCGGCCCGAGUGGUGAUCGUGAUUAUUGGGUCUAAAGGGUCCGUAGCCGGUUUGGUCAGCCCUCCGGGAAAUCUGACGGCUUAACCGUUAGGCUUUCGGGGGAUACUGCCAGGCUUGGAACCGGGAGAGGUAAGAGGUACUACAGGGGUAGGAGUGAAAUCUUGUAAUCCCUGUGGGACCACCUGUGGCGAAGGCGUCUUACCAGAACGGGUUCGACGGUGAGGGACGAAAGCUGGGGGCACGAACCGGAUUAGAUACCCGGGUAGUCCCAGCCGUAAACGAUGCUCGCUAGGUGUCAGGCAUGGCGCGACCGUGUCUGGUGCCGCAGGGAAGCCGUGAAGCGAGCCACCUGGGAAGUACGGCCGCAAGGCUGAAACUUAAAGGAAUUGGCGGGGGAGCAC